RNAcentral lists this ribosomal RNA (496 nucleotides) under fungal sp. Its description in RNAcentral is "eukaryotic LSU rRNA". The stretch from base 132 to 285 matches the Rfam family "5.8S ribosomal RNA". The record is from RNAcentral. Lineage: Eukaryota; Fungi.
ACCUGUUGCUUCCAUGGGCCUUGAGCCCAGCGUUCGCAUCGGCUUUACGGCUGGUGAGCGCCCAUGGAAGGAGAACACAAACCCCCCUUUUAUAUGGAUGAAGUCUGAACUUGUUUUAUAUAAACGUUAAAAACUUUCAACAACGGAUCUCUUGGUUCUCGCAUCGAUGAAGAACGCAGCGAAAUGCGAUAAGUAGUGUGAAUUGCAGAAUUCAGUGAAUCAUCGAAUCUUUGAACGCACAUUGCGCCUUCUGGUAUUCCGGGAGGCAUGCCUGUUCGAGCGUCAUCAAAAACCUCAAUCAGCAAUUAAUUGUCGAUUGGUCUUGCGUUGGAGGCGAAAGCUUCCUGUGCGAAAUUCAAUGGCGAUGAGCCACGCAGCCAAAGCGUAGUAACUUACUCUCGUAAUGGUGAAGUGCAAGCAUCCGCCGGAACCCCCCCAUACCCAAAGUUUUUGACCUCGGAUCAGGUAGGGAUACCCGCUGAACUUAAGCAUAUCA